This 498-nucleotide ribosomal RNA is filed under the name Triticum aestivum (bread wheat). RNAcentral's name for it is "partial small subunit ribosomal RNA". Lineage: Eukaryota; Viridiplantae; Streptophyta; Magnoliopsida; Poales; Poaceae. The record is from RNAcentral.
AUGCCUCCUCGAUCUUGGAUUCGCCUUCCUCCUUCCUUCUCCCUCGAGAUGCCGCCUAGUGGGUCUCUGGAGCUCUGGCUGCAGUAUGCUGACUGCAGCACCCUUGCGACCGGAGCGGAGGUCGCGGUCGUCGCUCCGGGCAAGGUCUACAUGACCCGUGGCUGGGGUGAGAUCGCCCGGGUCUGCCGGACAGGGGGCGCCCUCAUAAUCCAUCUUGAAUACGAUUGUUCCUCCUUGAUGUUCUUCAAGGUUUUCGAUGCGGAAGGACGCCGACUAGAAUGCUGCCCCAAGAAAGGCGGUCGAGGCGUCGUCGUGGCGAGGACCAGGCCAGCCAACCGCUUCCCCAGCAGCUCCUCAGGCAGCAGCGGAGGUGCCGGAGGGUCCAGCAACUCCGCCGAGCUUCACGCGACUCCGGAGACGAGCGACGAUAGCUACGAUCCCCCGAGCUCGCGUAACGCUCGGAGCAGGGCGGGUGCUUCAGGCCGCCGGCGCUGCUGA